This 497-nucleotide ribosomal RNA is filed under the name uncultured bacterium. Its description in RNAcentral is "partial 16S ribosomal RNA". It matches the Rfam family "Bacterial small subunit ribosomal RNA", at positions 28 to 507 of the family's 1533-position model. The record is from RNAcentral.
GACGAACGCUGGCGGCGUGCCUAAUACAUGCCAGUUGAGCGCUGAAGGUUGGUACUUGUACCAACUGGAUGAGCAGCGAACGGGUGAGUAACGCGUGGGGAAUCUGCCUUUGAGCGGGGGACAACAUUUGGAAACGAAUGCUAAUACCGCAUAAAAACUUUAAACACAAGUUUUAAGUUUGAAAGAUGCAAUUGCAUCACUCAAAGAUGAUCCCGCGUUGUAUUAGCUAGUUGGUGAGGUAAAGGCUCACCAAGGCGAUGAUACAUAGCCGACCUGAGAGGGUGAUCGGCCACAUUGGGAAUGAGACACGGCCCAAACUCCUACGGGAGGCAGCAGUAGGGAAUCUUCGGCAAUGGACGGAAGUCUGACCGAGCAACGCCGCGUGAGUGAAGAAGGUUUUCGGAUCGUAAAACUCUGUUGGUAGAGAAGAACGUUGGUGAGAGUGGAAAGCUCAUCAAGUGACGGUAACUACCCAGAAAGGGACGGCUAACUACGUG